This is an RNA transcript of Nematostella vectensis (starlet sea anemone), 2424 nucleotides long. It is a transcript of the gene named RNA exonuclease 4, with no coding region annotated. Lineage: Eukaryota; Metazoa; Cnidaria; Anthozoa; Actiniaria; Edwardsiidae. The transcript has 9 exons. The record is from RefSeq and is a predicted model, not a curated record.
GCUGGAAAGCCGCUGUUUAAGAGUUUGCAGAUUCACAAGCACGUGAACUAAAACAAAAUGGCGAGCAAAACACAAACACAGCGACGAUGAAGAGAAAACGAGAAGGGAAAACUGCGUCCGGUAGCGGUCCUAAAACCAAGAAGAAAAAGAAAUCCCCAGCUACACCAAAGAAUGACCAAAAACCUAAAUAUGUAACCCCUCACCUGCCCCAAAAGGCUGAAGAAAUGUCGUCAAACUGGAAAGCUCUUCAGAGUAUUCUUAUGGAAGAAAAGGCCAAAAACUCUGACAAGAGCGAGAAGACAAGAAAACCUAAAAAGUUUUUAAAGUCACUGAAAAACCUGAAGGAAAAAGAGGCAAAAAAGAUAAAAGACAAGGAAGGAAUUUCUUUCAAUACAAACAACAAGUCUAAUGAGAUAUGGUUUGAUGAUGUUGAUGUUGAAGACAUAGAGAAAGCAGGAGGGAAAGUUGAUAAAUCAGAAGAUGGAGCAGGAACUUCUGUAAAUCUCACUAUUGGUGGCUAUCAAGGGUUGACCAAGAAAAUUGCAAUUGACUGCGAAUUUGUUGGUGUUGGUUCAGAGGGUGCCAAACACAUGCUGGCUAGAGUUUCUAUUGUAAACUCACAUGGACGGGUUGUCUAUGACAAAUAUGUUGCCCCACAAGAAAGGGUCAUUGACUACAGAACUGCAGUCAGUGGAAUAAGGCCAUUAGACUUGAAAGAUGCACCAGAUUUUAAAACAGUACAAAAGGAGGUGUCUGACAUUCUACAGGGGCGGAUCCUGAUUGGACAUGCACUCAAGCAUGAUUUACAGGUACUCUUCCUAGCCCAUCCAAGAAAAGAUAUCAGAGACACAUCUAAGUACAAGCCAUUUCAGAAAAUUGUCCAGAGUAAGCAUCCUUCACUGAAAAAGCUGAGCAAAGAGAUAUUGCAUUCAAUCAUACAAGAGGGAGAGCAUUGCUCUAUACAAGAUGCCCAGGCGGCCAUGCGGUUGUACUGCUUGCACAAGCGGGAAUGGGAGAAGCAAAUCAAGGACAAGAAGUUUCAUUUUUCAAAGAAACGCUUAGAACAUGAUGCUGAAGGGAGCAGCUGACGAAAAACGGCAGCUUCUUGAAAUUUGAACUCCUGGGGCCGGUGCCAGAAAGCCCGAUUAAGCCCUAGAUUAGCGCCUAAUCCUGGGUUAAAAUUCGCUGAUAGUAGGUUAGCUAACUUACGGAUAACUCAUCGUUUCCGAAAGCCAAGUAAUCCCCCGAUUUACUAACCCUAGAUAGAGCGAGUGAAAAACUGGUUUGACGAGAAAAAUUCACACAGGAUACCCAGUAGAUCAAUUGAGAGCAACACAAAUUUACUUUUGGUGGGUUUAUUUUCGCAGAGAAGCCCCAAAACACCUCUACAUCACCUGUUAUUACCUCCAUUUCAUUGCCAAAAAUGUCAUUGGCAGUAUUCGAGUUGGUGCGUGAAACUAGCGAGACGGAUUCGUUUCAAGUAUAAAUUUCAUGUAACUUUCUGUCUGGCCCAGCACAAUUAUCGAGUCAGCAACGCUACGAAGGUCGCAUAACAAAGCGAAAUGUUGUUUUUGUGUAACGUCUUUUUUGUGGGCAACAUCAUUUUAUGAAACAUAAGUUCUACUGCAAAGUUUGGGAGUAAACCGUAGGUUAGCGAGUUAAUCCACCUCGCGAGCAGGGAACAAAACUAAUCCCGGGGUAAAGAUUUAAUCGUGGGUUAGGGCAAAUUAAACCCUGGGUUAGCGCAAAUCGGCCUUUCAGGGACCGGCCCCUGGACCAUAAGGGUAUCAGACCACAAUCAAGCUGACUGGCACUGGCUCAAUAUAAGCAAAAUCCACCAUAACUUCAUAACUUUAAUUAAAACAAUUUCCAAGCCCAUACCCAGGGAAGAAGUUGAGGUUUUGGAAGAACUAACCACUCCGACUGCUAUAUGGUCCGCUUAAUGGGUGAACCAACCUCACAAUCCUGGCUACGGGCCUGAGAUUCAUAAACUAGAUCAUGUCAUGCAGAUGUUAUACAUUUUAUUUGUAGUAUUUUUACAGAGAUACGGAACAUACAAAGCAGUCAAUCACAGUCCAUACAUGCAGCAUACUAUAAGUAUGAAUACUCGGCCAUCAUGAUUUUGUCACGUGACCCUAGAUACGUGUAUAUCACAACUAGUUCCAGUAAACAUACUAGGGGCUUUGACUCGGGCCAUCAUAAUUUGGUUACGUGAGCUCUAGAUAUGUCUCCCACUGAUCUGCAUCCUGUCAAAAAGAGACAUAUUGGUUGAAUACAAAGCAAGGUAGCGAUUCUGAAUACUUGUUAUACGAGCUUUACCUGAUAACCACAUAGCUUUUCUUAGCUCUUCUCGUAGCAACUCCAGGAUGUAACUCACACUUUCUUCACCCUAAAAAAGAGUGGAAAAGACAUUGUUUUCAUGGG